Long non-coding RNA from Nannospalax galili (Upper Galilee mountains blind mole rat), 703 nucleotides. RefSeq lists it as uncharacterized. The record is from RefSeq and is a predicted model, not a curated record. Lineage: Eukaryota; Metazoa; Chordata; Mammalia; Rodentia; Spalacidae. The transcript is spliced from 5 exons.
CUCUAAUUCCUAUGCUGUUUCACGGGUCACAAAGAGGAUCAUAGAGAUGAGAGGACGGAGUAUAGUCUGUCGUCUCCGACGGUGUUGCUGCAAUGCGUCUUCCGCGCUGACGUGAGCCGUUGGUUCUCUUGCAGGACCUCCCACAUUAAAAGGGCUGAAGUGGAGUCACAGAAUUGAAAGGAAUAAGGCAAAUGAUAUUGGAAAGAGUCAUGUAGGCACCAAAGCCACCUCAUUGCAAAGAGCAGCUUCAUUGAUGAGGAUGUUCUCGGUGAUAGGCAGUCCAUCAUGAAGGGGAAGUCACAGUAGCAGGAGCUUGAGGGAGCUAGUCACAUGACAUCUGCAACCAGGAAACAGAGAGGUGAAUGCUGGUGCUUAGCUACAUGCUCCUUUUUACUCAAUCCAACACUACAACCCAUGGGAUGGUGCUACCCACAGUUAAGACUGGUGAAGUCAGGAUCUCUUUGGGUAUCAGUUGAAUUACGACCUUGAGACUAAAGUGAUUAAUAUAGAAAUUAAACUUCUCAGGAGCUUCUAGACUCAGAUUUGUGGAGUAUAUUAUGUUAUCAAAUCAGUAAGCAGAUCGCCUGCAUUCUUACUUAUUCCAGAGGCUGAAGCAGGAGGAAGAUCACUUGCACCUAGGAGUUCGAAACCAGCCAGAGCAACACAGCAAGACUCUAAGACUCUGACCAAAAAAAAAAAAAAA